CAGAUCAUCCCGUACUACACUUACAUUCAUUAAGGAAUAAACAAACAAAUAAAGAAGCAUUGCAAACACGGAUAAAUUCCAUUUGCGAGAACCCUAUAUCGGAUAAGCUACGCUCUCACCCAUAAUAACCCGAACGCCCCUUCCGCUACAGGCCAUCCUGUUCCAGCUGCCUCCGUAUUUACUUAAGGGUGUGUUCGAGAUUUAGUCCGUUUGAGUGAUGAUGUAAUGGUGCUCAAACAAAAAUCCCACAGCAAACCCUAUAGCUGAGCGAGUGAGGGGGGGGGAGGGGGAAAAAAUUAAAUACAGAAAACUGUAUUUUUUUUCUAAUGAAAGGACGGUAGACUCUAGCUCGGGAUUCGACCUGACGAGUCCGUUAGCCACGAGUGGACGCGUUUUCAUUGGGCGCAUAAGACAACUGCUGAGAGCGUGUUGGGAAUAAACGCACGGCGUAUGAAAAGAAUUCGGCGGACACCUCGUGCCUACUCGAAUCAGCCCCUACUGCAGAGCAGGCUCGGUCAUAACACGCUCUUCCUUAAGUUCCUAUGAUGAUGAGUCUUUAUUGGUCACGUAUAUAUAUGCACAGUGAGAUUCUUUUCUUCGCAUACCCCUGCAUGUUAGGAAGUUGGGGUCAGAGUGCAGGGUCAGCCAUGAUACAGCACCCCCUGGAGGAGAGAGGGUUAAGCGCCUUGCUCACGGGCCUCAACAGUGGCAGCUUGUUAGUGCUAGGGCUUCCGAUCACUAACCCGGCGCCUUAACCGUCAAGCCCCCACUGCCCCUGAAUGAUCACGACACGUCUCCGCUUCGAGAGUAAUACAGAGUCGGCGUUUAUCAGCUUAAUCAAUAAUAAUGAGUCGUCACCACUGUAUCUUGUUGCCCGUGUGUGUUUUACAGAGCACUCGCACUGCAGCGACGUGACGCGUCGAACCGGCCUCGGGUUCGCCAGCACGGAUGAAAAUCCUGCCCCGGGGGUUUGCGGGAGUGAGGGCGGUGUGAAGCGACGUGAAGAAGAGCGGAAAAAAAGGAAGAAGGUUAGGAAUCGACCUCGUGCUCAUGCAGACGAGAAGCAAAUACCACCAGACUGUGGCCGAUGAGAGGGUAUUUAUGUGCCGGGGUUCUAAUUGGAGCGAGACACGCGCGCGCUCACUGCCAAGGAAUCAGACUGAAGUGGCAAAACAUGAUGAGAGCACCACGACACGUGAUAGAGACUUUUUAUACGAGCCCUAAGCCACCCAAUCCCUACCUCCCAGUACCACUUCAAUCAGAUCAGCUAAAUGCGCUUGUUUUAUUAGCAACCCGUUCCAACGCGGCCAAAAUGCCGAUGAAGGAGAUGUUCCACUUCGCGUGAACGUGGCAUUCGUCAGCUCAGGCUAACAGCCUCGAAGGCGUAUAGUAGUACUAACUUAAUCUCUCGCUCUCUUUUUCUUUUUGUUUUAUCUACUUGAGCACAUCCGAUAGAAGCGGUCUUAUAGAAACCUUAAGAGUAAUAAUAACGUAUCUCAGUACGUCGGUCAUGAUGGGCUGUGUGUGUGUGUGUCUCCUUCGCGGUCCUCAAUUCACCCAUGACAAAAUAUCGCCUCCUGUGAAUAUCGAGCUACAAAUGGUUCCGCUCGUAUAUAGAGGGUAUGCACUGACGCUAAGAAAACGACGAUCGGCUUAAAUUAAAGGCAGCCGAACUCGACAGUGACCCUUACAACUUGCCCAAGAACCCGUGCUCCACGGACGUUGGCACGUGGCCAGAAAUCGGGUUUCCCGAUGUACCUGAAGCUCGAAUGCGCAUAAAAGCCUUUUGGCGCUUGGUCCUACUUCGAGGUGGGAUUUCUCGGAGAAACGCACCGCCGACGAACAUCCUGGUUGGAUGUACAAAUAUCUGUAUUUUAUUCCAUGGUUUUUCUUUGAUCGUAGAAUUUUCAUUGAAAGUUUACAUUUUACAUGACACCCCAACAAACAACCACGGCCAAAACCAAAAGAAAGGGGGAAACAAACAAACAAACAAAAAACAAUAAACAAACAACCAGAGAAAAAAACAAACAAAAACAUAAAACCCCAAAACAACAACAACAACAAAAAGGGGUAAGAUGAUCAGGAAUUACAGUCCGCUUUUCCUCGAUCCACCACCAGGGUGCGCACAUCAUUGAAGUAGGUAAUAAAUUGCGCCCAUUUUCCCCAGAAUGAGUCACCCCUGCCUCUGAUGCUGUACUUGAUUUUCUCAGGUUUUAAAAAGAAGAUUAAAUCUUUAAUCCAGACUGAUAUAGAGGGGGGUUGUGGAGAGCUCCAAGACGACAGUAUUCUGCGCCGAGCAAGUGACGACGCAAAGGCCGCAACACUGGCUUCUUUAUGGUUCAGAGGUAUUUAUCCUAUCAUUUUACCCGUAAGCUAGCUAGUCGUAGUUUAUUGUCGCUAGCGCUGCUUCCACUUACUAACGCUAUAUAUAUAUUUGCGAAGGUCAGACCCGGUCGGAGAAUGAACGCGCCCCCGGUUAUUCGUCGAUGGAAACGGGCAGCGUUUAAAAAGAAGAAGAAGGGAGCAACGCCGGUCCUGCUGGUUUCCAUCGGCUCGUGUUUGUGUUAACGUCCACCUAGAUGAACUCGACAUCCAUCGCUGCCGGAAGCGAAAUUCUUUCUCUCCCCCCCCCUCCCCCCUCGAAUCCUGCUUCAAGAUAAUUGGCUUUUCUCACCAGAUACAGUGUUGCAUCAGACGAAGGAAGAUGUACAGAAACACCAAUUUUCCGAAACACCGAUUUCGAUUUCAGGGACACUUUAGACACCACGAGGUAAUGAGGAGACCACGGGCCCUGUUCCCACUAGUGCGUUUUAAAAUGAGAACGAUCCUCGUCCGCACCGGCGUUUCUGCCGCGUUUCCGAAACGAUCUCCGCCCACACUACACGACCGAAAACGCGUGUCACAUGACCAUUCAUGCACACACAGGAAGUCGGUUGCUAGUCGAAACCGGCGUUCCACGUAGGGAUUACGCCGCUUUGUUGUCGAUCGCUGUAAUCGUCGCUCGCCUCGUGCGCUUGUAGGCAGCUGCUGUGUUAUGAAAUACAGAAUGUAACUGCACAAGGGCUGCUCGGAAUGACGACAAAGCCUGCAAAGCCUGCGGUUCAGUCUCCGUGUUGUUGUGUAUAUGAUCGACGUAGCGUAACGGUCAUUCUGUAGGGGCUCGACGAAUCAGGGACGGAUACGCGACGACCCAGAAGACCCAAUCGGGGAGCGAGUGUGGGCGGAGCCACGCCUUCGUUUUCGGUCUGUUUACACUGAAACGCGAGCGCGGAGUUCUCAAACUAAAACGGGAUCUUCUGCGUUUCCAAAACUUUCCGGAGUAGUGCAGACGACCGGCGUGACCGUAGCAACGGGAAAACAUUUUUACUUGUUGCUAUCUAGUUGCAACCCCUUCGAGUCCUACAUUAUUAUUAUUAUUAUUCAGUAACUACAACGAAUCAUUCAGUAUUGAAACUAGUAAGAAAUGUCUGCAGCUAAGACAGUGAGGAAUGUACAUCUGUACACCUCCUGAGCAGUUCAGAGACUGACCGAACGGUACGAUAUCAUUACGUCUAGACUUCGUAUGUCAGAAACGUAAAACUGGUUUUUCUUCGUCUCAUGCCUUCUCUCAGGCUGUGGAGGGCGGUUUAUUUCCUCACUGUAUCGUUAACACAAUCUCUCUUGUUCUUGGUGCUCUGACCUCCGGUGACCUGGCCCUGAGCAGGUCAAUGAGACAGCAGUUCCUCACACACGCACACACACACACACACACACACACACACAGCAGCCACCUGCGCUCACUCAUAAACCGUCAGCUCGUUCCUCCUAUGCACGUCAGGAGCUGUUCUACACAUCGAACGCGUUAACGAGCCACCGAAUGGAUGUAAACAAUGCGAGUCCCUACACGACUGCUUCUCACAACCAAGUGCUAUUCUUAUUACACCUAAGCGAUCCAUUAAGGAUCGUAACGAGCGAUGUGGCUGAAGUUACACGUCGGAAAAUCACCGCUUCCUUUACCGAGCAGUCGGGAAUUUCCAGAGGAAGAUCGGUGCAGUUUGGAUAGCUCGUGAGACACUGCGCCACACCGUCAUAAUAUUACGUGUUAAUAAGGCAACGUCCGUAAAUCCCCGUAAACUAUCGACGGUCACGUUAAUGUCUUCCAGAACCUGGAGCUCAGACGGUCCAGACGUGCCUCAUAACUACAUACCGUUCCUAUUAGUUUCACUCGUUCAAAAAAAUUAUUCACAGUAGUUGCUUUAUACCACAGCACUGUUGAACUCUCGAAGGUGAUUGGUCAGGAGGCAGUGACUCAGGUUCUAUAACAUAACAGCAGCUCUGAUAGACCCAGACGCGUCCGUAUUAACGGGCUCGUUCUAAAAUAUUUAACGUUUCUAUAGCAACAGCUCAUUCACGGGGACUCGUAUGGCAGACAAGCCACGUGAUACGUCUCUUCAAAAAAUUUCGAUUCGUGGACGUUUUCUGUAAGGAGACGUUGAUUUCGAGUUUAUUGGAGGAGUCUCCGGUGUCAGUGCUUUGUAGGUUUUCCACUACAGGAAAGUCUUCAGGACAGAGGGCUUCGCGGCUUCGCUAACGUGAUCCUUAUUAACGUCGACGGGGGGCCGGGGAGGGGCUGAGCGAUUGUAGCAGUUAUAACGCAAGAACUAACUUGUCUCGCAGACGUUGCGCAACAUGUGACUAUUUACAGUUAGAAGCACAAUGUGUCGUUCAUUCAUAAAUUAAUACUCAUUGCUGGUUUUGUAAAAUCAUCAACUUCGGGGAGGUAAGAGGCGUCCGGGUCGCGUCAAUCCGACUCCGCGUUGAUUAUUUUCCUGUAACAGCACUGUCGUGUUUUAGUAAGGACUUAAAGUAAGCGAAUGAGUAAUGCGCAGUAACUGUAAGGAGUUCACGACAAGCCUACUUUAUGCCGACAAAAACGAGGGAUGCACUGAUUUGAUGCACAGUGUUUCAGUAUUGGGUUAUCAUUCGAUAUCGGUAUCAGACUGGCUCCGAUAUCUUUUUUAAUACCAACCCAGCGACGUAUAUUACGCCAUGAACGUGUGAGAAGUUGACCGACACAACCCAUGACGUCUCACACGGAGUUCACGUGUCAACACAGAAGUAGCGGCCGAUGCUCUCACUAUAUUUGUGUGAGCGUGUGUGUGAGAACCAAAAAAAGAUGAUAUUUGCCAAGUCAUAAGAAUGUCAUGUCAUCAUCCAUAACGUCGUUGUUGCUCGGAGAUCACAACAGACGUGUUCCCAUCCCAGCUGCACAUUUAAAAAUUGGAACGUCGCAUAGAACAUUUGCAAAUAAAGUGUUCAAGAGAAAAGAAUCGUCGUUUCCAGGGGAACUGGUUCACCUCUCUCACGUGCUCUCUCUCUGCCUACACUUUUCUGAGUCAAUUAUCCCGUCACAUGAUUUGUUGAGGCAAAGUCACAUGACUUUAGUCGGAUUAAGGUCAUCGAUAAUCGCUGUUUACAUGCUAGUUUCUUAAUCGGGUUGAUAUCGGAUUAUUGUUGUCCAUGUAAACGUAUUGAAUAUCGCGGUGAGAAUGAACGAUAUAUUGCUCAGCCCUAGCACUAACAACGUCACACUGGGUUUGGGUUUUGUUUGUUUGUUUUAUUUUUUAAUUUCUUCCCACAGGUGUAUAAGGACUGAAGAGCUGUCAUUAUGAACCCAUGCUCCAUGAGCUAUAUGAGAACAUGUGUGAGAGGGAGAGGAACUUGGGCACUUUGCAGAUUUAGAGGCAAACAAAACAGCACAAGUUCUUCCUGGAAACCGUCCAACACGUCCUCACACACACACACACACACACACACACACACGGAGAGAGACACAGUGACGCCGAGAAACCGGGCAAGAUUUAAAACACCACGCACUUCAGUGCUUAAAUAAUGUGAAAAUAAUAAUAACAAAAAUUAUCAUAAUAAUAAUAAUAAUAAUAAUAAUAAUAAUAGUAUGACAGUAUGUCUUUGUAAACAUUCCAAUACGAACGAGGGCGAGAGAAAACAAAAUCACAGCCCAUUGAAACCCAGCAACAGUUGGAGCAACAACUGCUAACAGAUCUCUAAAGUCGCCAUACAAGUCUGAUCAAGUAGUUUAUCAUCCCGAAUCACGCACUUUAUUAUCAGACUGUCUGAAUCCGCGGAUAAAAAUAGUUCUCCUGUAAUCUCUUUACUUACCGAAAAGCCAGGCAAGGAGAAGCUUUUCCCGAUUUGAUGUCCGCUUGAAAAAGUUUUUCUUAAUUUUCCCCCGUUGGUCCUUCUUUGCUUUAAUCCGAGUUCUUCAGUUUUGUGCAGGUAAAAAUCCAACGGUUUUUAUUAUUGUUAUUAUUAUUAAACCGCAGGAUUAACAGUAACUCUACCGCUUUCACAAACACAAACACGCGCGCGAGACUAAAAGCGGUGUGAGUUCACUGUAGUUUAGUUUAGACGGGUGUGUGUGUGUGAGGGGGGAAACGAUUUAAACACUAAAGAUUUCAACAGCUGUGCACACUUGGAGUCAUUUAAGUUAAUAUAUUUAACCGAGUAGUUUCUUAGGUUAAAUCUAAACAGAAUAGCCACAGCUCUAACAACCGCUCUCAGGCUUUCCGUCCUUUGCCUUUCUCCUAGAGACCACUACCAGGUGCUCAUUUGCAUAACUGCUCUCAUCGCGUCCAAUCACCGCGCGCUGAUUUAAAUAUUC
Long non-coding RNA from Ictalurus punctatus (channel catfish), 6661 nucleotides. The record is from Ensembl. NCBI's taxonomy places the organism in Eukaryota, Metazoa, Chordata, Actinopteri, Siluriformes, Ictaluridae.